GGUUUGGUCGCCCAAUGUCUAUGUACUAUGUAUAGCAAGGCUAUUAGAUGGAUUUGGAAUUGGUCUAGCAGUUACUCUCGUCCCGCUCUACAUAUCUGAAACUGCCCCAGCAGAUAUAAGGGGAUCAUUAAAUACUCUUCCACAGUUCCUUGGUUCAGGCGGCAUGUUUUUAUCAUAUUGUAUGGUUUUUGGGAUGUCACUGAUGAACUCACCAAACUGGAGACUGAUGCUCGGUGUUCUUUCCAUUCCCUCUAUUAUCUUUUUUGCAUUAACGGUAUUUUACUUGCCUGAAUCUCCUCGAUGGCUUGUGAGUAAGGGCAGGAUGCUUGAGGCAAAGAAGGUUCUCCAGCAGUUACGUGGCACUGAAGACGUUUCUGGUUUGUUGCUUAUUACUUGCUUGCAAUAUUAUGUUUGUAUGUAGAGAUCCUGAUUCCCAAAUGCAUAUCAUCUGUCUCUUGUUUCAGUGGAUCCAACUCUUAAAGCAUUGUCUCAUGCACUGAAAUGUGCAUGCUAAAAUUCUUAUCAUAAAUUCAUGCAUGAUUCACUGAACUCGAUAAAGAUUCAAUAUAUUUUAGGACAAAAAGCUGCAUAUUAUCGUUAUGGGUAAAAGAUACUCGGAGUUGCCUUUUCUACUUCCUUUGGUUUCCAAUUUAAAGUUUAAUGUUCUUUCUUAUUUAGAGAAAUAGUUUUCGCUUGUAAAGAAGUUGUUUAGACAUUUGGUUAAAUUAUUACUAAUGCUUGUAGGAAAAUGCAUUACUUAUGGAGGAAUUAUGUUCUCAGACCUUUUCUAUUCAGUUGUAACUAUGACUAAUUUAUCAUGUGAAUCUUGCUAAUGCAUCAUGGUUUAUAGGUGAAAUGGCUUUGCUGGUUGAAGGUCUUGGAAUUGGGGGUGAAACAUCUAUAGAAGAGUACAUAAUAGGCCCCGCUGAUGAACUUGCUGACGAUCAGGAACCAGCUGACAAAGACAAAAUUAGGUUAUAUGGACCUGAGGAAGGCCUUUCCUGGGUUGCCAGACCUGUCACGGGACAGGGUUCCCUUAUUAGUCUUGUCUCUCGCCAAGGAAGCAUGGUAAACCAGGGUGUGCCUCUAAUGGACCCUCUCGUCACUCUGUUUGGUAGUGUCCAUGAAAAGUUCCCAGAGACUGCUAGUACCCGUAGCAUGCUUUUUCCUAACUUUGGGAGCAUGUUCAGCACAGCAGAUCCUCGGGUUAAAACUGAACAAUGGGAUGAAGAGAGCUUGCAGAGAGAAGGUGAGGGCUACGCAUCUGACGCUGCAGGGGGAGACUCAGAUGACAAUCUGCAUAGUCCAUUGAUUUCACGCCAGGCAACAAGUUUGGAAAAGGAUUUAGUGCCCCCUGCUUCCCAUGGCAGUGUUCUAAGCAUGAGGCGGCACAGCAGUCUCAUGCAAGGAACAGGGGAGACAGUUGGUAGCACAGGCAUUGGUGGUGGCUGGCAAUUGGCAUGGAAGUGGUCUGAGAAAGAAGGCGGGGAUGGAAAGAAGGAAGGAGGAUUUAAAAGGGUAUAUUUGCACCAGGAGGGAGGCCCAGGCUCCCGUCGUGGGUCCCUUUUGUCACUUCCUGGUGGUGAUGUUCCUGCAGAAGGUGAGUUUAUACAGGCAGCUGCUCUGGUCAGUCAGCCUGCCCUAUAUUCGAAGGAGCUUAUAGAUCAGCAUCCAGUUGGACCUGCAAUGGUUCAUCCAUCGGAAACAGCUUCAGAAGGACCAAUCUGGGCUGCUCUGUUUGAACCAGGGGUUAAGCAUGCAUUGUUCGUUGGAAUAGGAAUCCAGAUUCUUCAGCAGGUAGUAAAUAGUUAUAAUUUAUAAACAUUUAUAAAAUUCUCAUUUCUAUCUUAUCUGACAUUUUUUUCAUUGGGAUUGGCAAAAUGUGAUACUUUUUUCUAGCUAACUUUCUGAGAAUGACAAUCAUCGAGUUUAUUUGAUGUGAUUCAUGAUGUUUCCUGCCAGUCCUAGAGAUGUAAAAAAUGUCUGGCACAUAAAACGUCCAUUUUGUUAUGCAUUGUUCUUCAUUUGUAUCUGAAUCUAUAAUUUUUUAUUUAUGACAUUUUCCUAAUCCCUUCUCAGUUAGAAUAUCUCCCUUUUGUUCUCGGGGGAAACUAAUGACUAAAGUGUUCCUUAAAUUUUUUUCUUUGACCGGCAACUAAAGUGUUCCUUAAAUAAUUGUGCAGUUUUCUGGCAUAAAUGGGGUUCUGUACUACACUCCUCAAAUUCUUGAAGAUGCAGGUGUUGAAGUUCUUCUUGAAGACUUGGGUCUCAGUACAGAGUCUUCAUCCUUCCUCAUAAGUGCAUUCACAACUUUGUUGAUGCUUCCUUGUAUAGCCAUAGCCAUAAAGCUCAUGGAUAUCUCUGGUAGAAGGUGAUUAAUUCUUCUGUACUUUUAUUUAUUUUUAAUCUGACCAGAAACUCUUCAGUUAGGGUUGCUCAUAUCCAAGGUCUUAUCUUUUAACUAUAACUUUUAACAAAUUGCUGUGGCAUUACACGAAAAGCUGGUUUGGCUGUCAGCAAAUGACAGUCUGCGUUAAGCUGCCUUAUGUUUUAAGAUAGUGGUCCUAUGCGGCCUUCUUGAAUUAAUUUCUAUUUUAUAAAAUGUUAAACAUUUGUAAGAUGUGAGGCUAAGGCUAUCUCAUGAAAGGAAGUAGCGUAAUAGUUUUGCGGUCGGAUGAUUCUUGACAAUCUGCUAAAAUUAAGGCUCGCUCCUUAAGAGCUCAAUAACUUAAAAGGUUCUUUCUGUUGGCUUAAUUCCUUUUCAUUUUUUUUUGGGUGCACUGUCCUAAAGAUUUAAUUUGGAACUCUGGCUUAUUUUUUGUUUUAGAGGAAGAACUUUAAGUUUAAAUCUUAAUUAAACAUUCCUUAUUGCAGGACGCUGCUACUGGCUACAAUUCCUGUGUUGGUAGUGACACUCAUCAUCCUAAUCAUUGCCAACCUUGUGACCUUGGGUACAGUUCUUCAUGCGGCUUUAUCAGUCAUUUGUGUUAUCGUCUAUUUCUGCUGCUUUGUCAUGGCCUAUGGGCCAAUUCCAAAUAUCCUCUGCUCAGAGAUCUUUCCGACAAGGGUACGUGGCCUCUGCAUUGCCAUCUGCGCCCUAGUGUACUGGAUUGGGGACAUUAUCGUCACCUACACACUACCUGUGCUGCUUGAUUCAAUAGGCCUAGCUGGUAUCUUUGGUAUUUAUGCUGUGGUUUGU
This 3199-nucleotide long non-coding RNA is filed under the name Prunus persica (peach). Its description in RNAcentral is "long non-coding RNA (PPER_LNC005001)". Lineage: Eukaryota; Viridiplantae; Streptophyta; Magnoliopsida; Rosales; Rosaceae. The record is from RNAcentral.